RNAcentral lists this unclassified non-coding RNA (586 nucleotides) under Hevea brasiliensis (rubber tree). The record is from RNAcentral. Lineage: Eukaryota; Viridiplantae; Streptophyta; Magnoliopsida; Malpighiales; Euphorbiaceae.
CUUCUAGAUUCUCUUUCUACCCAAAACAAUCACCCAAAUUAGGCCCUACCAACCGAUGAACCCGCGUUCCCCUGGCCCCUCUUUCUCUUUCUCAUUCAUUCUAGCAUUUGUGUCCCACUUCUGCAUUUCUCUGAAACAGAGAAGAAACACAACUUCUUCUUCUCUCAUUAAUGGCUCUUUCCCAACAUCUCUUUUGACCCUUUCUUCCAUACCCUCUUUGAUUUUGACGCAGAAUCGAUAAUGAAAAUCGAGGAUCCUCAACUACUGUGAAAAAUCAAGGUUCUUCAAUUUUGGGGACCAACCCAAUUCACUCAUUUCCUUGAUUGCCUACGAGAAAACGAAAAAUCAAUUGCUCCUCCAUUGUCAGAAAUAGCCCCUUAUGCCAUAUGCCGAAACCCUAGAGCUCUGGUACCAAAUCCAGAAAACCAGGAUUUGGAAGAACCCACUAGACUGUGUCCUUGAUUUUUUCUCAACAGCGAGGAAUUCCGGAGAUCAAACCCUAGUUCUCUGGUCCCCAAUCUUGAAGAACCCAAAUUCUUGAAUUUAAAACUGAGUGCAAGGAAUUCAAGAAUUUGGGUUCGUACCC